GACAGAGGAUGCAAGCGUUAUCCGGAAUGACUGGGCGUAAAGCGUCUGUAGGUGGCUUUUAAAGUCUGCCGUCAAAUCCCAGGGCUUAACCCUGGACAGGCGGUGGAAACUACCAAGCUGGAGUACGGUAGGGGCAGGGGGAAUUUCCGGUGGAGCGGUGAAAUGCGUAGAGAUCGGAAAGAACACCAACGGCGAAAGCACUCUGCUGGGCCGACACUGACACUGAGAGACGAAAGCUAGGGGAGCGAAUGGG
RNAcentral lists this ribosomal RNA (253 nucleotides) under uncultured bacterium. RNAcentral describes it as "partial 16S ribosomal RNA". It matches the Rfam family "Bacterial small subunit ribosomal RNA", at positions 524 to 776 of the family's 1533-position model. The record is from RNAcentral.